GAGGGAUUUUCGCUGUGUUUCCCAAGUGGGCCUCGAACUCCUGGGCUCAAGUGAUACCCCCCACCUCAGCCUCGUGACUAGCUGGGAUUAAAGGGGGUCUUGUUCUCUCACCCGGACAGUAGUGGAGUGGCGCAAUCACAGCUCAAUGCAUCUUCGAACUCCUGGGCUCAAGUGAUCCUCCUACCUCACCCUGAGUAACUGGGAUUACAGGCAUGAGCUAUCAUGCCCAGCUCUCAUUUUACCUUUUUGAAUCUUAGAAAGAGGAACCAGAAUCCAUAUAGCCAAUUGAAGCAAUGUGACACAUAUAAGAACUCAAUUUAGGAAUUCAAGGUUAUUGCCUGGAAUCAUUGUACUGAGGUUUAUAGCCAAUCAUAGAUCAAAGAUCACCAGAAGGACCAUGUCAGAAGACUGGGCAGUAAAUAAUUUGCAGUUGUUUGUUCCAAUACAUUCUAAUGUGCCCUUUGAUCUUAAAAAGUUCAUGGACAGAUGAUGGUGAGGGAAAUAAAGGACAGCAGAGUUCAG
Molecule: long non-coding RNA, 522 nt
Filed under: Homo sapiens (human)
Lineage: Eukaryota; Metazoa; Chordata; Mammalia; Primates; Hominidae
Description: non-protein coding lnc-AP3S1-3:2
Source: RNAcentral